This 386-nucleotide unclassified non-coding RNA is filed under the name soil metagenome. Its description in RNAcentral is "partial contains 5.8S ribosomal RNA, internal transcribed spacer 2, and large subunit ribosomal RNA". The stretch from base 1 to 120 matches the Rfam family "5.8S ribosomal RNA", at positions 35 to 154 of the family's 154-position model. The record is from RNAcentral.
GAUGAAGAACGUAGCGAAAUGCGAUAAGUAAUGUGAAUUGCAGAAUUCAGUGAAUCAUCGAAUCUUUGAACGCACCUUGCGCUCCUUGGUAUUCCGAGGAGCAUGCCUGUUUGAGUGUCAUGAAAUUCUCAACCUUUUCAGCUUUCUUUGUUGAUCAGGCUUGGAUGUGGGAGUAUGCGGGCUUCUCAGAAGUCGGCUCUCCUGAAAUGCAUUAGCGGGACCUUUGUUGCCUGGCUUUGGUGUGAUAAUUAUCUACGCCAUUGUAGUCAAGCAGCUUAAAAUGAGGUUUCAGCUUCUAACCGUCUCCCCUGAGACAACGUUUUGACGAUUUGACCUCAAAUCAGGUAGGACUACCCGCUGAACUUAAGCAUAUCAUAAGCGGAGGA